RNAcentral lists this unclassified non-coding RNA (311 nucleotides) under uncultured Tricholomataceae. RNAcentral describes it as "sequence contains ITS2". The stretch from base 1 to 52 matches the Rfam family "5.8S ribosomal RNA", at positions 103 to 154 of the family's 154-position model. The record is from RNAcentral. Lineage: Eukaryota; Fungi; Basidiomycota; Agaricomycetes; Agaricales; Tricholomataceae.
AACGCACCUUGCGCCCUUUGGUAUUCCGAAGGGCAUGCCUGUUUGAGUGUCAUUAAAUUAUCAACCUUGUUCGCUUUUACGAGCUUGAGCGAGGCUUGGAUGUGAGGGCUUGCUGGCUUCCUUCAGUGGAUGGUCUGCUCCCUUUAAAUGCAUUAGUGGGAUCUCUUGUGGACCGUCACUUGGUGUGAUAAUUAUCUAUGCCAUUUGACUGUGAAGCAAAAUUAUGGGAACCCUGCUUAUAACCGUCUCGCAAGGGACAAUUUAAUUGACUAUUUGACCUCAAAUCAGGUAGGACUACCCGCUGAACUUAA